AUUCCAUGAUGAACAAAAAAAAUUUUUUUGGGUAAUUUACGUCUGAGAUUUCCUGAUGAAUAUUCCAGACUAGAUCUGACGAAU
Molecule: small nucleolar RNA, 84 nt
Organism: Plasmodium cynomolgi strain B
Lineage: Eukaryota; Apicomplexa; Aconoidasida; Haemosporida; Plasmodiidae
Rfam family: small nucleolar RNA snoR24
Source: Rfam